RNAcentral lists this ribosomal RNA (253 nucleotides) under uncultured bacterium. Its description in RNAcentral is "partial 16S ribosomal RNA". It matches the Rfam family "Bacterial small subunit ribosomal RNA", at positions 524 to 776 of the family's 1533-position model. The record is from RNAcentral.
UACGGGGGUGGCAAGCGUUGUUCGGAAUUACUGGGCGUAAAGGGCGCGUAGGCGGGGAGGUAAGUCGGGUGUGAAAUCCCUCGGCUCAACCGAGGAACUGCGCCCGAGACUGCCUUUCUUGAGUCCCGGAGAGGAAGGUGGAAUUCCCGGUGUAGCGGUGAGAUGUGUAGAGAUCGGGAGGAACACCGGUGGCGAAGGCGGCCUUCUGGACGGUGACUGACGCUGAGGCGCGAAAGCGUGGGGAGCAAACGGG